This 240-nucleotide long non-coding RNA is filed under the name Canis lupus familiaris (dog). RNAcentral's name for it is "lncRNA (ENSCAFG00000055107.1)". Lineage: Eukaryota; Metazoa; Chordata; Mammalia; Carnivora; Canidae. The record is from RNAcentral.
UAAGGUUGCAAAAUAAACUGAUAUGACAAGCUCAUAUUUCAUUUAUUCUGUCUAGAAAUGAAACACCAUCUAAAAACUGCCAGAGCAAGGUCAAUGCUUUCCUAUGAAGUCCUUAAGCAGAAAACUUAUCUUGUGACAAAUAUUUGGAUGACACAACUGUUCACCUCAUUGCAAGUUCCUAGAGAUGAAGCACCGUCUUUUCUGAUGAUUCAUAUAUGAUUAAAACUACAAACAUCUGUU